This 1355-nucleotide ribosomal RNA is filed under the name uncultured bacterium. RNAcentral's name for it is "bacterial SSU rRNA". It matches the Rfam family "Bacterial small subunit ribosomal RNA", at positions 28 to 1381 of the family's 1533-position model. The record is from RNAcentral.
AUUGAACGCUGGCGGCAGGCUUAACACAUGCAAGUCGAACGAUGAUUAUCUAGCUUGCUAGAUAUGAUUAGUGGGGGACGGGUGAGUAACAUUUAGGAAUCUGCCUAGUAGUGGGGGAUAGCUCGGGGAAACUCGAAUUAAUACCGCAUACGACCUACGGGUGAAAGGGGGCGCAAGCUCUUGCUAUUAGAUGAGCCUAAAUCAGAUUAGCUAGUUGGUGGGGUAAAGGCCCACCAAGGCGACGAUCUGUAACUGGUCUGAGAGGAUGAUCAGUCACACCGGAACUGAGACACGGUCCGGACUCCUACGGGAGGCAGCAGUGGGGAAUAUUGGACAAUGGGGGCAACCCUGAUCCAGCCAUGCCGCGUGUGUGAAGAAGGCCUUUUGGUUGUAAAGCACUUUAAGCAGGGAGGAGAGGCUAAUGGUUAAUACCCAUUAGAUUAGACGUUACCUGCAGAAUAAGCACCGGCUAACUCUGUGCCAGCAGCCGCGGUAAUACAGAGGGUGCGAGCGUUAAUCGGAAUUACUGGGCGUAAAGCGAGUGUAGGUGGCUCAUUAAGUCACAUGUGAAAUCCCCGGGCUUAACCUGGGAACUGCAUGUGAUACUGGUGGUGCUAGAAUAUGUGAGAGGGAAGUAGAAUUCCAGGUGUAGCGGUGAAAUGCGUAGAGAUCUGGAGGAAUACCGAUGGCGAAGGCAGCUUCCUGGCAUAAUAUUGACACUGAGAUUCGAAAGCGUGGGUAGCAAACAGGAUUAGAUACCCUGGUAGUCCACGCCGUAAACGAUGUCUACUAGCCGUUGGGGUCCUUGAGACUUUAGUGGCGCAGUUAACGCGAUAAGUAGACCGCCUGGGGAGUACGGCCGCAAGGUUAAAACUCAAAUGAAUUGACGGGGGCCCGCACAAGCGGUGGAGCAUGUGGUUUAAUUCGAUGCAACGCGAAGAACCUUACCUGGUCUUGACAUAGUGAGAAUCCUGCAGAGAUGCGGGAGUGCCUUCGGGAAUUCACAUACAGGCGCUGCAUGGCUGUCGUCAGCUCGUGUCGUGAGAUGUUGGGUUAAGUCCCGCAACGAGCGCAACCCUUUUCCUUAUUUGCCAGCGGGUUAAGCCGGGAACUUUAAGGAUACUGCCAGUGACAAACUGGAGGAAGGCGGGGACGACGUCAAGUCAUCAUGGCCCUUACGACCAGGGCUACACACGUGCUACAAUGGUAGGUACAGAGGGUUGCUACACAGCGAUGUGAUGCUAAUCUCAAAAAGCCUAUCGUAGUCCGGAUUGGAGUCUGCAACUCGACUCCAUGAAGUCGGAAUCGCUAGUAAUCGCAGAUCAGAAUGCUGCGGUGAAUACGUUCCCGGGCCU